RNAcentral lists this long non-coding RNA (808 nucleotides) under Nicotiana benthamiana. RNAcentral's name for it is "long non-coding RNA (NBEN_LNC036905)". The record is from RNAcentral. Lineage: Eukaryota; Viridiplantae; Streptophyta; Magnoliopsida; Solanales; Solanaceae.
CCCUUUCGGGUAGGGGUAAGGCCCGUCUACAUAUUACCCUCCCCAGACCCCACUUUGUGGGACUAUACUGGGUAGUUGUUGUUGUUGUAUAGUAUCUAGUUUUCAGAAGAUUAUAGUUGUAGUUAGUGAAAAGGCAUUUCAUAACAGGUAUCUCAUUCUCCCAUUGAAGUUAAUUCGGUUUUGCUGGGCACUAGUCUUUGUGUUUUGUAUUUAUUUUUAAACAAAUACAGUACUUGUCUUUAGAUGUAUCUGUCACUUUGCGAAUAAACUGAACCUGUAUUGAAAAAUGCUUUUUGUUUUCCUUUGAAGCCAUGUCCUUGUAUGCAUGGAUUCAAUGUUAUCUUUUGCUGUAUUAAGCUGGUUAUAUCGCCUAGUUUUAAGAAGGUUACAAUACUAUUAUCAAAGACGAAAAACACAAAAAACCUCUAAGGUCUGAUGAGGCUUUAAGCGCAAAUAAAGCGUGGGUUUUAAUGAAAAAAUGCACAAAAAGAGAAAAAUCAAAUAUGUAUGUAUAGUAAAAGACUAAUAAUUAUAAGCAUGAAUAAAAAAAUAUAAAGACAAGAAAUUGAAAAAAGUUAUGAUAAAGUGAAAUAUUAAUUGCUUAGCGUCACUUCUUCGAUUACGUUGUCGCUCGUUGGCAAGGAAAAGAAUGACUUAGAGCCUUGAUGACAAUAGUGAUUUCCCCGCAAAGUGAGGCGAAACGCUCAACAUGUUUUGCACCUCGCUUUAGGCUUAAGUGCGCAUUGACAACACCGGUUAUUUUUUUCUUUUUAUUGAACCGAAAACGAAAUUUAAGGGAGGUAUUCUG